UUAAAGGUACCCGUACCGCAAACCGACACAGGUGGGUGAGGAGAGUAUCCUAAGGCCCGCGAGAGAACUGUUGUUAAGGAACUCGGCAAAAUGACCCCGUAACUUAGGGAUAAGGGGUGCCACCAUCCGGUGGCCGCAGAGAAUAGGCCCAAGCGACUGUUUACCAAAAACAUAGGUUUCUGCUAAGUCGCAAGACGAUGUAUAGGAGCUGACGCCUGCCCGGUGCUGGCAGGUUAAGGGGAUCUGUUAGAGCAAUCGAAGCAGUGAACUUAAGCCCCAGUAAACGGCGGCCGUAACUAUAACGGUCCUAAGGUAGCGAAAUUCCUUGUCGGGUAAGUUCCGACCCGCACGAAAGGCG
Molecule: ribosomal RNA, 358 nt
Filed under: Clostridioides difficile
Lineage: Bacteria; Bacillati; Bacillota; Clostridia; Peptostreptococcales; Peptostreptococcaceae
Description: partial 23S ribosomal RNA
Rfam family: Bacterial large subunit ribosomal RNA
Source: RNAcentral